AUUGAACGCUGGCGGCAGGCCUAACACAUGCAAGUCGAGCGGAUGAAGGGAGCUUGCUCCUGGAUUCAGCGGCUGACGGGUGAGUAAUGCCUAGGAAUCUGCCUGGUAGUGGGGGAUAACGUCCGGAAACGGGCGCUAAUACCGCAUACGUCCUGAGGGCGACAGUGGGGGAUCUUCGGACCUCUCGCUAUCAGAUGAGCAUAGGUCGGAUUAGCUAGUUGGUGGGGUAAAGGCCUACCAAGGCGACGAUCCGUAACUGUUCUGAGAGGAUGAUCAGGCACACUGGAACUGAGAAACGGUCCAGACUCCUACGGGAGGCAGCAGUGGGAAAUAUUGGACGAUGGGCGAAAGCCUGAUCCAGCCAAGCCGGGUGUGGGAAGAAGGUCUUCGGAUUGUAAAGCACUUUAAGUUGGGAGGAAGGGAAGUAAGUUAAUACCUUGCUGUUUUGACGUUACCAACAGAAUAAGCACAGGCUAACUUCGUG
RNAcentral lists this ribosomal RNA (484 nucleotides) under uncultured bacterium. Its description in RNAcentral is "partial 16S ribosomal RNA". It matches the Rfam family "Bacterial small subunit ribosomal RNA", at positions 30 to 507 of the family's 1533-position model. The record is from RNAcentral.